Hydractinia symbiolongicarpus is the source of this 2678-nucleotide long non-coding RNA. RefSeq lists it as uncharacterized. The record is from RefSeq and is a predicted model, not a curated record. The transcript is spliced from 4 exons. NCBI's taxonomy places the organism in Eukaryota, Metazoa, Cnidaria, Hydrozoa, Anthoathecata, Hydractiniidae.
ACAAAAAACGAUAAGACAUAAAAUGGUAGCUUAGCUGUGAAUGAAAACAAAUUUUUAAGAUUUUUGUUUAUAGUGCUGUUCUAUCUCUAGCAUUGUUACUAGUGACGUGAACAAAUCCUUUAGAAAAAACAGUUUGCUAUAUUAAUAGUUUUUAUUUAAGGAUUUAUUUUAAACUAGUCGUUAGCCCGUGGAAAAAUCCACCGGUUCGCCCAUCCUUUUUAUACCGCAUUGCGUGCGUCUUGCUACCUGCGCAGCUAAGCUACUAUUUUGCGUGAUAGACAGACGGACGGACGAACAGACGUAUACGGGUAUUAUAAUAUAGAAUCAAAGAAAGAAGAAAUACACAUGAGGCCACCCGCAUACCUUGCUUUUAAUGCUAGUCUGGUUUGAUGGUAAUAAUAUACAAAACACAUCACAUCACUGAAAAAGAGUACCAUGACUUGCCAAGAGUAUUGCAAGAGAGAGUUUGCGUUACCUGCAGAAGUCCAAAGCUCAUUUCAACUUUGCCAGAUGAAUAGUAGAACCACAGUGUUCAUCUAUGAUGAGGGUCAGGGCUUCGAAAAUAGCACUGUCAGGAGGUUUAGAAGACUGGUUAAUUAUGUAAUUAGUCUGAUAAGAGCAAGGAACUUGCUGAAUCGGCUUUAACGAGAAAUCAAAGAUCGGUAAAGAUAUUGUAUGUUUGAGGUUUUUAAUUUUAAUAUAUUAAUAAAAACGUUUUAAUGUUUGUUUAUGUUUGAAGCUUUAACUUCAGCGUUACCUAAUUUUUUUAACUAUAGUAAAACCGUAAAAAAGGUUCUUUUUAGUGUCAGGAAAAAUGGCUGUUCUUCUGUGCAAACUCUAACUUGUUAUUUUAUCACUCCACACUAUUUUGUAAACAAAGAGAGAGAAAUUGAGAAGGUAUAAGAAUGAAAUCAUUUUACCAUGACUUCAAAAAAGCACCCUUCACUGUUAAUAUUAGCUAAUCAGAAUGAAUUGAACUCAAUAGCAUGUUACUACGUACAACUUUACAAAUACAAUUUUUAGUCUUUUAUCACGUCGAAAUGUUAUUCAAAUAACAUAAACAUGAUUCUAACGUUCAUAACAGACAGACUGUUAAAGUAGGAGCUGUUUGUAAUCCCUUUUGACCAGACCAUUAACCACCUCCACCCCAACUUGUAGUGCAACGUGCAUUAUUCUCCGGAUUUUCAAUUCCUUCACCACAGUUCUUAUCUCUCCCUCAUUGUGUAGUAUUUUUUAUUCUAAUUUGUGUCAACGCCUUCACUUGUUUUACUGCAAUUCGAAACUUCUAUGUUCUAGGUAAUCAUUGACCUUUACCGUAAAGUUAUAAAAUAUUUUAAGCAAGCAUAUUAGCUAAUGAUGUCGUGAAACCAAAAUCUAUAUCUGUUAAGACUGUAAUUAGUAUUCUUUGUUUUUGUUGUUGUUGUUGUUGUUGUUGUUGUUUUUCUUAUGAAAAGAGUAAAACUCUAUUAACAAGAAUAGGGUACAAAGUGAGAACGCAACGUAUUAUUUAUUAUUACUUUCUUAUUUCAGAGAUCGUAAAAAUUUUAAAAUAGUGAAAAAAUCACUUGUCUGCCAUGACGUCACGUCUGAUACCAUGACGACUCAUUGAUUAACAGUUGGUCAAGAGAAAAGUUAAUUUCUUCAAGUCAAAUUUUAGCCUGGUUACCAAGUAAUUUUACACAUUGUGUACAAAUUGUUAUAAGAAUGUAAUAACUAACGUCAUUCACUUUUUUAUCCUACUUGCAUAUCAAUGUACUAACAUCCAUAUGUACUCAGUUUCAUUAGGAAGAGGGGGGUUUCAGCAUCAUAAAUUAGAGCAGAUUUGAAACAAAUCAAGACAAGAAGAGAUUUAAAAUCGGGACAAAAAGAGAUUACAAAUCGGGACAAGAAGAGAUUACAAAUAGUUGAAUAACAAGGGUUUUGUUAAAUUUUUUAAAUGACACUUAAUAGGAUGUUAUUUUGUGGAAUUUCAUAUCGUUAAUUUGUCGGACUUAUACUAUAGAGCUUAAAAAGUUGGUUACCAAGGCUUUUUUCGUUCUCAAAGAUAUUCACAUAUGAAUUUUAGAUGUAAUUAUCUGCAUAAAUUAUGAUGUCAUAUUUAGGAAAUAAUUUUUUUUGACACUUUCUGUCAUCAGUAAUUUUAGACCUGUUAGGGGGAUGUGUUUUCAAACUUUAUCAAUGCAUAGAUAUUAUAAAGUUGAAUUGAUUAACAUAGAUUUUUUAGAUAAAAUGACACUCGUUUCCUUGUCCCAGGCCUCUCAAUUCUUUGCUAACGACCCAAUAACUCGUAAUGCUAAAAUAUAAGUGAAAUGAAAAUUGUAAUAAUCUCUUACCUUUGUUUUCAACGUUAAAUUUCAGAAUCACAUAUUUCAGUCGCAUGGUAAAAUAAGGAAAGCUAAAUAUGAUAUAUAUUAAAAGUGCUAUAUAUAAUAUGUAUGUUAAUAUGCAUAUUUUCUUUCUAUGUGCAUUGUAUUUCUUUCUAUGUGCAUUAUAAUUACCCACAUACUUGUCGCCAUAGAUUCUUGGUCUACUGGUUAAAUAAAUCUUAAGCUGUGUUUAUUCAAUUCUUAUGUAAAACUUUAAAUACAGUUUUUUCAGACAUAAUUUCUAGUAGCGACAUGUAAAAGGUACGCUUUGUAUUGGAAUUAUUUUAGGGUUUUCCUUGGAUGUAAAAUGCA